AGGAGAAGUGCUCUUUAUCCUGUAUGUUGGAGCCUUUGGGACUGGAGCAGGGUCAUGGGGUAGCCUGGAGCCUAUCUCAGGGAACUUAGGACAUAAUGUGUAGGAUAUCCUGGACAGGGUGCCAACCCAUCGCAGAGCACAAUUGCACACACUCACACACUACGGACAAUUUGGAAAUGCCAGUCAGCCUUCAACACAUGUAUUUGGACUGUAAAGCCAGAGUACCUGGAGGAAAUCCCUGAAGCACGGAAGGAACAAAAAAAAAAGUUCCACACAUGGCAA
Long non-coding RNA from Ictalurus punctatus (channel catfish), 282 nucleotides. The record is from Ensembl. NCBI's taxonomy places the organism in Eukaryota, Metazoa, Chordata, Actinopteri, Siluriformes, Ictaluridae.